GUUGGCUUAGAAGCAGCCAUCAUUUAAAGAAAGCGUAAUAGCUCACUGGUCGAGUCGGCCUGCGCGGAAGAUGUAACGGGGCUAAACCAUGCACCGAAGCUGCGGCAGCGACACUGUGUGUUGUUGGGUAGGGGAGCGUUCUGUAAGCCUGUGAAGGUGGCCUGUGAGGGUUGCUGGAGGUAUCAGAAGUGCGAAUGCUGACAUAAGUAACGAUAAAGCGGGUGAAAAGCCCGCUCGCCGGAAGACCAAGGGUUCCUGUCCAACGUUAAUCGGGGCAGGGUGAGUCGACCCCUAAGGCGAGGCCGAAAGGCGUAGUCGAUGGGAAACAGGUUAAUAUUCCUGUACUUGGUGUUACUGCGAAGGGGGGACGGAGAAGGCUAUGUUGGCCGGGCGACGGUUGUCCCGGUUUAAGCGUGUAGGCUGGUUUUCCAGGCAAAUCCGGAAAAUCAAGGCUGAGGCGUGACGACGAGGCACUACGGUGCUGAAGCAACAAAUGCCCUGCUUCCAGGAAAAGCCUCUAAGCAUCAGGUAACAUCAAAUCGUACCCCAAACCGACACAGGUGGUCAGGUAGAGA
Molecule: ribosomal RNA, 575 nt
Filed under: Salmonella enterica subsp. enterica serovar Newport
Lineage: Bacteria; Pseudomonadati; Pseudomonadota; Gammaproteobacteria; Enterobacterales; Enterobacteriaceae
Also listed under: 1 other name
Description: partial 23S ribosomal RNA
Rfam family: Bacterial large subunit ribosomal RNA
Source: RNAcentral